GGCCCCAUAUACUGGGGGGAUGAGGCCUGGGAGUGGCGGGCAGCGAGUUGGGAGUGAUGGCCACUGGGUUGUGACUGGCCGUUGAUGUUUUCAUAUGGGUCCUGGUACAAAAAGGUUGAGAACCACUGAUCUACUGCAGGGCUGAGCACCUUGUA
Gavialis gangeticus (Gharial) is the source of this 155-nucleotide long non-coding RNA. RefSeq lists it as uncharacterized. The record is from RefSeq and is a predicted model, not a curated record. NCBI's taxonomy places the organism in Eukaryota, Metazoa, Chordata, Crocodylia, Gavialidae. The transcript is spliced from 3 exons.